CCCACUAUUUUUUCUCCCAGUUUUGUUCCCAGGCAGACAUUUGGACUUGGGCUGAAGACGUUUGUGGAACCAAGGCGUAAUUUCAGGGAUCUCUUUCUCACUUCGGCUAGGAAGCGAGAUAAGUUUUAACCUCACGGGCAACACAGACUCUCGGAGAAGUGAUUGUAUCGCCAUAGUGACAAUAGAAAGCAAGCACGCGCUGUUUGUGCUAUCAGGGUCCACAGCAGUUAUGGUGCCAACCUGGGUACCAAUAGCUGAGUUUUCAUAUGUGUCCAUAAUGUAGUAGUCCAUGGAGAACACAGGAGGUUCAUCCACAUCCCCCACAAUGACUCGAAGUGAUGUGGAAUCCUUAAACGGCCCCAGGUGUGAAAAGCUGGCGUCUAGAAGUUCCUGGUUGAACCUCCCGCUGUGAGAGCUGCGUGCCUGUAUGUUUUCCUCCC
This is a long non-coding RNA of Mugil cephalus (flathead mullet), 440 nucleotides long. RefSeq lists it as uncharacterized. Lineage: Eukaryota; Metazoa; Chordata; Actinopteri; Mugiliformes; Mugilidae. The transcript is spliced from 3 exons. The record is from RefSeq and is a predicted model, not a curated record.